This 912-nucleotide long non-coding RNA is filed under the name Homo sapiens (human). Its description in RNAcentral is "long non-coding RNA NONHSAT156249.1". Lineage: Eukaryota; Metazoa; Chordata; Mammalia; Primates; Hominidae. The record is from RNAcentral.
CGAGAAAUCCCGCUCGGGGCGCGGUGCGCGCAGCUGCCCGGGGAUUCCCGGUGGCGCCGGUCGGAGCGCCUCCCUCCAGGGCUGUGCCCGCGGGGCGCGCGUCCCCGGGCAUCCUUUCCUGGUGUUUAAUGCAUUUUGGCUUCAGGACUUGCCGAGGCCGAAGCCGGCUCCGCCCUGGGCCCUGAAGUCGGGCGGUGUCCGCGAUUUACCUCCGCACCUUCGGGGCAGGUGGCCAGAGGCAGCGUUGAAAGCGACUUGCCCAAGGUCACGCAGGUGGCACCGGGGAGGCGACCAGACCCAGGUCUUUCGACGCCGAGGCCAGCUGCCAACCGCAGAGCUUUGGGGCCGUCUUGAGUGGUUUGUGUCUGGCUCUUGCUGAUUGAAUUCCUUUGGUGCAGUUUAGCAUGUUCCUCUGUGUUCUGCAUCUCCUGUAGUGUAAUGUUCAAGCUCAGAAAUGCCUUAUGUGGAUCGUCAGAAUCGCAUUUGUGGUUUUCUAGACAUUGAAGAAAAUGAAAACAGUGGGAAAUUUCUUCGAAGGUACUUCAUACUGGAUACCAGAGAAGAUAGUUUCGUGUGGUACAUGGAUAAUCCACAGAACCUACCUUCUGGAUCAUCACGUGUUGGAGCCAUUAAGCUUACCUACAUUUCAAAGGUUAGCGAUGCUACUAAGCUAAGGCCAAAGGCGGAGUUCUGUUUUGUUAUGAAUGCAGGAAUGAGGAAGUACUUCCUACAAGCCAAUGAUCAGCAGGACCUAGUGGAAUGGGUAAAUGUGUUAAACAAAGCUAUAAAAAUUACAGUACCAAAGCAGUCAGACUCACAGCCUAAUUCUGAUAACCUAAGUCGCCAUGGUGAAUGUGGGAAAAAGCAAGUGUCUUACAGAACUGAUAUUGUUGGUGGCGUACCCAUCAUUAC